CCAUGAGAUGAAGACAAGUCUUUUUGAUCAGUAAUGGGGUAUUCAAAAAGGCAAGAACCUUGUUCUUCUCUUUGGCUGACUUCUUCCUGAUGAGUUGCUUUCCAGUGAGAGAAGAAAGGGCUCAUGAUGAAUGAAAGCAGACAGACUCUGCUAUGAAGGUCACUGCAGCACAUGCAUCAACAUUGGCUACAGAAAGUUGAACAAAGAGAAAUUCUGCUAAACAGCAAUAACAAUAAUAACUUGAUGUGAACCUUCAAACCAGGCCAACAUAUUCCUUGGUACUUGGUGACUUCAGUGUGUUGAGUCCAGCACCUUCCACGAUGUGGGCACACCAUACUGGGUGAUCCUGUGCCAGUGUCUCCCAUGUCAUGUAAUCAAUUCCAAAGUUCUUCAGAGAGACCUUGAAAGUGUCCCUGUAUUGC
Long non-coding RNA from Dromiciops gliroides (monito del monte), 422 nucleotides. RefSeq lists it as uncharacterized. The record is from RefSeq and is a predicted model, not a curated record. The transcript has 3 exons. Lineage: Eukaryota; Metazoa; Chordata; Mammalia; Microbiotheria; Microbiotheriidae.